Long non-coding RNA from Lutra lutra (Eurasian river otter), 341 nucleotides. RefSeq lists it as uncharacterized. The transcript has 3 exons. Lineage: Eukaryota; Metazoa; Chordata; Mammalia; Carnivora; Mustelidae. The record is from RefSeq and is a predicted model, not a curated record.
GAGGGCUGGACUCCAGCACGAAGGGAUCCGGAGCGCUGGCUGCAACGAUGCAGGCGAUGCAGGCCGACACACCACUGAGAACUGUUAACACCCCAUCCCCUUCACUCCCAAAAAGGAAAAGUCCAGGAAGCAGACAGCAGCCGGCAGACAGGAAUGGUGGUUGGUUCCCAGUUAGGUACAGACCGGGAGGGGCGCCCAGCUGUGCUUCCCUCCCCGGCCGCUAGGGGCCGCUGCCCCGCUGCUCUGCGGCCUCCAGGUGUUACUUGUCACCGUCUCUGGGUCAAGAACUCCUCUGAGGGAGUGCUCCUCCCGACCAAGAGGAAAGGUCAUCAACCAACAGG